RNAcentral lists this ribosomal RNA (379 nucleotides) under uncultured eukaryote. Its description in RNAcentral is "partial 18S ribosomal RNA". It matches the Rfam family "Eukaryotic small subunit ribosomal RNA", at positions 592 to 975 of the family's 1831-position model. The record is from RNAcentral.
CAAUAGCGUAUAUUAAAGUUGUUGCGGUUAAAAAGCUCGUAGUUGGAUUUCUGCUGAGGACGACCGGUCCGCCCUCUGGGUGAGUAUCUGGCUCGGCCUGGGCAUCUUCUUGGAGAACGUAGCUGCACUUGAUUGUGUGGUGCGGUAUCCAAGACCUUUACUUUGAGGAAAUUAGAGUGUUUCAAGCAGGCACACGCCUUGAAUACAUUAGCAUGGAAUAAUAAGAUAGGACCUUGGUUCUAUUUUGUUGGUUUCUAGAGCUGAGGUAAUGAUUAAUAGGGAUAGUUGGGGGCAUUCGUAUUUAACUGUCAGAGGUGAAAUUCUUGGAUUUGUUAAAGACGGACUACUGCGAANGNAUUUGCNAAGGAUGUUUNCAUUG